GACGAACGCUGGCGGCGUGCUUAACACAUGCAAGUCGAACGGUGAAGCGCCUUCCUUUUUGGUGGGUGUGGAUGAGUGGCGAACGGGUGAGUAACACGUGAGUAACCUGCCCCCUUCUUCUGGAUAACCGCAUGAAAGUGUGGCUAAUACGGGAUAUUCUGGGUCUGUCGCAUGAUGGGUCUGGGAAAGAUAUUGUUUCGGUGGGGGAUGGGCUCGCGGCCUAUCAGCUUGUUGGUGGGGUGAUGGCCUACCAAGGCGGUGACGGGUAGCCGGCCUGAGAGGGUGGACGGUCACACUGGGACUGAGACACGGCCCAGACUCCUACGGGGGGCAGCAGUGGGGAAUAGUGCACAAUGGGCGAAAGCCUGAUGCAGCGACGCCGCGUGAGGGAUGGAGGCCUUCGGGUUGUGAACCUCUUUCGCCAGUGAAGCAGGCCUGCCUCGUUUGUGGGUGGGUUGACGGUAGCUGGAUAAGAAGCGCCGGCUAACUACGUG
This 494-nucleotide ribosomal RNA is filed under the name uncultured bacterium. Its description in RNAcentral is "partial 16S ribosomal RNA". It matches the Rfam family "Bacterial small subunit ribosomal RNA", at positions 28 to 507 of the family's 1533-position model. The record is from RNAcentral.